UGACGGUACCUGACUAAGAAGCUCCGGCUAAAUACGUGCCAGCAGCCGCGGUAAUACGUAUGGAGCAAGCGUUAUCCGGAUUUACUGGGUGUAAAGGGAGCGUAGGCGGCACGGCAAGCCAGAAGUGAAAUGCCGGGGCUCAACCCCGGAACUGCUUUUGGAACUGUCGAGCUAGAUUGCAGGAGAGGUAAGUGGAAUUCCUAGUGUAGCGGUGAAAUGCGUAGAUAUUAGGAGGAACACCAGUGGCGAAGGCGGCUUACUGGACUGUAAAUGACGCUGAGGCUCGAAAGCGUGGGGAGCAAACAGGAUUAGAUACCCUG
Molecule: ribosomal RNA, 320 nt
Filed under: uncultured bacterium
Lineage: Bacteria
Description: bacterial SSU rRNA
Rfam family: Bacterial small subunit ribosomal RNA
Source: RNAcentral